RNAcentral lists this ribosomal RNA (253 nucleotides) under uncultured bacterium. RNAcentral describes it as "partial 16S ribosomal RNA". It matches the Rfam family "Bacterial small subunit ribosomal RNA", at positions 524 to 776 of the family's 1533-position model. The record is from RNAcentral.
UACGUAGGGGGCAAGCGUUGUCCGGAAUCAUUGGGCGUAAAGCGCGUGUAGGCGGCCAGGUAAGUCCGUUCUGAAAGCCCGGGGCUCAACCCCGGGAGGCGGAUGGAUACUGCUUGGCUCGAGUCCGGAAGAGGUGAGUGGAAUUCCCGGUGUAGCGGUGAAAUGCGCAGAUAUCGGGAGGAACACCUGUGGCGAAGGCGGCCCCCUGGUCGGAUACUGACGCUGAGACGCGAAAGCGUGGGGAGCAAACAGG